AAGAAAAAACCUAGAAAAUACUGGAUGAGCUCUAAUGACUUAACAGGCAACCUGGCCCCUGAUAAGACACAGGUGUACUAAAUACAAAACAAGAGGAACAGCCUUGUCCUUAACAGGUCACAGCUGUGGGUGAAAAAAGUGGUGGGUUGGCUACUCAGAGAAAACCUUGAGGAAGAGGGCCUUGUGGAGAUACAAAGAGCCAUUUGGAAAUGGAAGAUGCUGUUGGGAUGCAGUGUUUUCUCCUUCUCAAUUAUCUUGUUCCAGAGGUUCGGCCACUGUUGCUUAGCUGUGGCCAGUGGCAUUGAUUCCAUUUGUUGUAGAGAAAGCUUCUGGCAGUAUCCUGGAGGAUCCUACAGGCAACAGUCGGAUGACUUAAGGCAUUCCAAGUGAUGGACUGUUGCCUUAAUUUGGGCCUGUUUAAACUGAAGUAGAGCAGAUGGAGUAAAGAUAUGAUGAAAGUCUUCAAAUAUUUGGAAGACUGAUGCAAACUACCAGGAAUUCUUUUUUUAGCAUGCCCAUGUAGUAGAAAUAAUGAGGUUAUAUUGCACAGAUUAGAUGUUAGGAAAACCUUUCUAACAGUAAGGAUGCUGGUAAGUUUCUGUAGACUGCUGGGAAAUGUAUGUUUUUCAUAGGCAUAUUUGUUGAGUUCUCACAACUAUGCUGGAUGAAUAUCUGCCAAUAAUGUACUUUUGGAGCUACUAUGGAUUAGAGGGUGCGCUGUGGACUGGAUCAGGGACUAGGGGAGCCCUUAGGAUCCUUUGCAGGACUAUGGUGGUUCUAUGCACUUAAAUGCAUUGCAGAGCCCGAUCAAUUGGGAGGAAGAUUAUUUCUCUAUCAUCAGGUGAAAAGCUUUAAGAGCUAGCAAACAAAAAUCAAAACACCUAUCAGUGAGGUGGUGAGUCUAUGAGAACACAUUUAAAGAUGGCAAAGAGAAGUACUAAGAUUUGCUUAUAAUGGCAUCAGUUAUUGUUUUGCAUUGUGGUAGGAGAGUAACUUGUGGAGAAUAAAGUAAGGGUUUAUGUUGCAGGAGCACCCUUGACCCAUUUUCUGGAGCUGAGAUUCUCAAAGAGAUAAUACCAAGAUAUUGAAAAGAGUUUACUGUGCUUCCAGAAGAUUAAAACCUAGAUGAAUUACAAGAAACAACAUGUGGAUGAAGAAAUUGGUAGAAUUGGAUAGUGGUAGGAUGAGCUCAUUUACAGAUUCAUUGGUUGAUAGCUAUUCUUCUGUCUUGGCUGAGCAUUACUGUCUGGCAGUGUUUGGUAGGCCUUGUGGCAAAAGCAAGCCUUGAGAUGGUAUGAAAUCCAAAUUUAAUAGCUCUUUUUGUUGAACACUUUAAUCUUAUUAAAUUAUUAGGGAAAUUUCAGGGAAUUAUAGAGGGACAGGUGAAAGAACAAGGGGUAAGGCUCAGUAGCUGGAUGAGUUUCUGAAGAAACCUGUUUCUACUGCAGAAAAGGAAGUGAGGGGUGGAGAGCAAAUGCCUCCUUGUGCUGGCUGCAAUGGCAGCACAGAGCACACUAGUGUUAGCCAUUGAGAGGCUUGGAUGUGCCCAAGCAGAGUGUGUCCUCCUUUGGGCAUCCAGUCUGUUUAGAGGGGGGAGGCUGGGGUGUGCCCUGGUUGAGGUUAAUCCACCUCCUUUGCCACACACAAUUGAAGAACCCAGUGACUUCAGUGCUGGAAAUUACUCUCAGAACCCUUAGGCUUCAGAACUGAUUCUCACAGAUUUUAAGUUUAGCCAUAAUGAGGUAGUUCACUAUACUUUUUUUUCCAUCUUUGUAAAAUAAAAUUUGUUUGCUUAUUACAGAAACAUUUUGAGGAUUGGUGAAUUACUUGUAGGGUUUGAAAAUAAACUGGUCGUUGUUGUCAAUAAAACUAUGAAAACCUAAGUACUACAUAACAAACAUUAAUUUGGUGAAACGUUUCAGGAAUAUAUGUGGGGGAUACAUUUUUUUCUUUCUACUUUUAGAAUUAGCUUUAUUUGCAUUUCAUUUUAUUUGUGUUUUUCUUCGGGCUAUUUAAAAGUCCUUGGGAGUUAAA
Molecule: long non-coding RNA, 2034 nt
Organism: Passer domesticus (house sparrow)
Lineage: Eukaryota; Metazoa; Chordata; Aves; Passeriformes; Passeridae
Exons: 3
Source: RefSeq, a predicted model, not a curated record